Molecule: non-coding RNA, 1276 nt
Organism: Cricetulus griseus (Chinese hamster)
Lineage: Eukaryota; Metazoa; Chordata; Mammalia; Rodentia; Cricetidae
Source: RefSeq, a predicted model, not a curated record
AAGGGGGGAGGGGGAGAGAGGAAGAGAGAGAGAGAGGUAAAGGGAAUCUGAGAAUCUGAUUGACACGUGACCCUGUCCAGUUCGUUUCCUUGGUCACAAAGCUGGUUUGGGGGACCUUUGGAGAGAAUCAGACAUUUGGAAAAGCCACCCUACAUUGGACUGAAGAAGAGAUGAUCAAAGCCUAAAAGACCACCAAACGCCAAAGACCUUAAAAGGAGGGCAACAAAGACCGCAAAGAGUGAGGUAAUGUGCUCAAUUUCACAGAGUCACUUGGUGAAUCAGCUGAACUGAGAUCUGCCUUCCAGUGUUUGCCUACACAUGUGGAGGCAUGGGAGUCAUUUUGGUCAUGGACAAGGACAGGGAAUUCUGAGCUGCCAGUGAGUUUUACGUGUAACUAUUCUUUCCUAUUUCUUUUCAUCACUUACUUUCAUUUCAUAUUAUUACUGAAAAAACAAAACAACAAAAACAACAACAAAAAUAAUACAGGGUUAUGGGAGAUGUGUGUGAUCAGUAUAGGGACAUAUUAAAAAUACCUGGUGAGCUGAACCACUUUCCAAAUGUUUUGCAGCUGACCGCCUGCAAAAGCAAUCCACUCAACUUCUAAAUUUUCUAUGACUGUCACUCUCAGCAAGGGGAAGACUACAGGAUGAAUUUUCGGCCUACUAAAGUGUGCUGGAGGAAAGGCAGAAGGAGCUAACAGGCGUAUCUCUGGUUCCAAAUUUAUAGUAAUUAGGAUCAGAAUUUGAAAAUAGCAGUCAGUUUCGAGUUACCUUAAAGCAAACUGACAAACAGACUGCCUCUGGCUUUCACACCACAUCCACAAGACUUGCUUUGCAUUUGGAGUUUGAGCCUGACUGUGUAACACAAUGCUAAGAUUGCUUGAUUUGAGUUUGAAUCUGGGCUUUAUCAUUCACCAGUUAAGUGAUCGAGACAGCAGAAUUAAUCUUUCCACAUAUCCAUCUGCACAUGUGUAAAAUGACAAGAAGUUGCUUUUUCCUGUUUUCUUUGGGUUAUUAAGAGAUUUACUACCUUUAUUUGGAUUUGCCCCAAAGUUGAUUCCAAGACAGGAUACAAGUACAUUUGACAAAUGACCCCAGGAAACAGCAAGGUCAUGUCAAAGUGAGGCAGGGAAGUUCCAUUAACAAUAACAAUUCCAGCCCCUCUCCCCUUCCUCCUCGAGCAGUGCAUUGUGAUCCACCAGCAACGAGGGAUGCCAAUAAGGCAUCCGAUAAGAUAAGUCUUAUAAAAUAUGUAGAUUUAUGAUAAUUAAGACUGA